ACUACUAUUCAGGAAUGUAGUAAACUGUCUUUUUAUAGUUCAUUUAAAUUAACUUUUUAUAUUGAAAAAUAUCUGUCUUAUAGCAAUAAUGUUAGUCUGUUAACAAAAUUACGUAGUGGAACAUUAAAGUUAAAUAUUGAAGUUGGCCGUUAUAAUAAUAUUCCUAGAGAAAAUCGUUUAUGUGAAUGUUGUAAAAUGUGUGUUAUUGAAGAUGAAUACCAUUUUGUUCUUGUUUGUCCAGCUUAUAGAUCUGUAC
This 256-nucleotide long non-coding RNA is filed under the name Mytilus galloprovincialis (Mediterranean mussel). Lineage: Eukaryota; Metazoa; Mollusca; Bivalvia; Mytilida; Mytilidae. The record is from RNAcentral.